AGGAGAAAACUUAGGAAAAAUGCAAGAAAUUAUUAUUUUCAAAUUGUAAAUGUUACGACCUAUCAAAACAUGUAUAUCUGAACUCAGAUCGGAAUCGUUUUUCGUUAGCAAAGAUUACAGAUAUACAUUAAAUUUCAUCUUUACCUAUCCGACUUUCGCCUACUGCACUUGGCCUAUACAUCGUGCCAAGUAUAUCCGUUUAAUUUUUAAAAAACGUUAAUGCAGGAUUUUUUCAAUAGAUAUUCAACAUAUAUCUAGGUACUGAUAAUUUCAAAUUAUUGUUGAACAUAUUAACAACUUUUAUUGGUAUAUGUUAAUUUACCAGAACCUUUAAUCAAAUAGGUAUUAUACAAAUAUGAACAAAUA
Non-coding RNA from Cinara cedri, 366 nucleotides. NCBI's taxonomy places the organism in Eukaryota, Metazoa, Arthropoda, Insecta, Hemiptera, Aphididae. The record is from the annotation of a GenBank genome assembly.